UUUGGGGUAAACACCCUGAACACACCUGAUCUUGUCUGAUCUCAGAAGCUAAGCAGGGUUGGGCCUGGUUAGUACUUGGAUGGGAGGCAAUAUAUUUUAAAACUAUGCUACACUGAAC
Ribosomal RNA from Ursus americanus (American black bear), 118 nucleotides. The record is from Ensembl. Lineage: Eukaryota; Metazoa; Chordata; Mammalia; Carnivora; Ursidae.